AUGCCACGCCUCGAGGACAUCAUCAACACAUGCACAGAAUGGGCGUUACAUCUGCUGAAUCGAUGCACGGAGAAACAGCGGUUGCCGGUCAUCAUGACGCUAUGGAGAAGCUGGCACGUCCGAAAUGAAGUGGUACAUCAAAAACCGGCACCUGCGAUUGAAGCUUCAAGGAGGUUCUUAUGCAGCUACAUCGACAACCUGCGUUGCAUUCAGCAACACCCACACGAGGACAUCAUCAAAGGAAAAAUGAUAUGUACACAGGGAGCUAGUCGGAACCAUAUGAAGAUGGUGGUCGCCCCAUCUAGCUGCACUCGGCCUCCAGAACAGUGGACCAAGCCUCCUCAAGGAUGGGUCAAGCUCAACGUUGACGGCGCAUGGCGGGAAGAGUAUGGAACAGGUGGAGCGGGAAUGAUCCUCCGCGACCAUAAUGGAUCAAUCAUUUUUUCCUCAUGCCGGUUCCUCACUACAUGUGUUAGUGCUUUGGAAGCAGAGAUGGCUGCAUGUAUGGAAGGGAUCACUCUCACCCUAGAGUGGAGUACUAUGUCGUUCAUUCUAGAAACUGAUAGUAGUGUUGCAGCUAACAUGAUCAAGGAGGAGAAGGAGAACAGGUCACCAGUCGCUGCUCUCGUCGGCGAAACCAAACGACUCCUUGCUCUGGGCCGGGAGCAUGUGAUAUUGCAUGUUAGUAGAGAUCUUAAUAAAGUGAGUCAUUACCUAGCUCAGAUAGGCCACUCUACUUCUAAAACUGCAGUUUGGCUGCGAUGUGGACCUGAUGAAAUUGGCAACCUUUGCCAACAGGAUUGUAACAAUCUUCCCUGA
This 819-nucleotide ribosomal RNA is filed under the name Triticum aestivum (bread wheat). RNAcentral describes it as "partial small subunit ribosomal RNA". Lineage: Eukaryota; Viridiplantae; Streptophyta; Magnoliopsida; Poales; Poaceae. The record is from RNAcentral.